GUGUUAUUCAGUAAUGGAUGCCUUGGUCUGAAAAUCGAUGAGGAGUACAGCGAAAUGUGAUAUGCAUUGUGAACUGCAGACUUCCGUGAGUCAAUGGCUUGUCGAACGUUUGCUGUGCCUUUGGGAUACGCCUGAAGGCGCGCCUGCUUCAGCGUCUGU
RNAcentral lists this ribosomal RNA (159 nucleotides) under Lingulaulax polyedra. Its description in RNAcentral is "Lingulodinium polyedra 5.8S ribosomal RNA". It matches the Rfam family "5.8S ribosomal RNA". Rfam says of the family: 5.8S ribosomal RNA (5.8S rRNA) is a component of the large subunit of the eukaryotic ribosome. It is transcribed by RNA polymerase I as part of the 45S precursor that also contains 18S and 28S rRNA. Lineage: Eukaryota; Dinophyceae; Gonyaulacales; Lingulodiniaceae. The record is from RNAcentral.